This 681-nucleotide ribosomal RNA is filed under the name Pertusaria flavida. Its description in RNAcentral is "mitochondrial SSU rRNA". It matches the Rfam family "Bacterial small subunit ribosomal RNA", at positions 429 to 1198 of the family's 1533-position model. Lineage: Eukaryota; Fungi; Ascomycota; Lecanoromycetes; Pertusariales; Pertusariaceae. RNAcentral also lists the same sequence under 1 other name. The record is from RNAcentral.
UCGACUCUGUCGAAUAAAGUUCUAGUUAAGUUAUGAUAAUGACAUUUCUUAACUAUGUGUCUUGACCAAAUCACGUGCCAGCAGUCGCGGUAAUACGUGGAAGACUAGUGUUAUUCAUCUUUAACAGGUUUAAAGGGUACCUAGACGGUAAAUCAAGCCCCAAGGGGACUAAUUUACUAGAGUUUAAUAAGAGAGGGGGAGUACUGAUGAGUGGAGCGAUUAAAUUUUAUGAUACCAUUAGGAACAGACAAAGGCGAAAGCGACCUUUUACAUAAAACUGACGUUGAGGGACGAAGGCUUUAGUAGUGAACAGGAUUAGAUACCCAAGUAAUUAAAGCAGACAAUGAUGAAUGUCAUAGAUUAGUACUUUUAUUAAUCUAUAAAUGAAAGUGUAAGCAUUCCACCUCAAGAGUAAUGUGGCAACGCAGAAACUGAAAUCAUUAGACCGUUUCUGAAACCAGUAGUGAAGUAUGUUGUUUAAUUAGAUAAUCCGCAAAAGACCUCACCACAAUUUGUAUAUUAUUUUUAUAAUAAUACAAGCGUUGCACGGCUGUCUUCAGUUAAUGUCGUGAGAUUAGGUUAGUUCCAUUAAAUUAACGUAAACCCUUGCUUUAUUUAUAUUAUAAAGUAGAUCACCGCUAUAUUGGAUGUGAUAAUAGGGACUAAGACAAGUCAUCAUGG